UCCCUGGUGGUCCAGUGGCGAAGACUCCGCACUCCUAAUUCAGGGGGCCCAGGUUCAAUUCCUGGUCAGGGAA
Transfer RNA from Ovis aries (sheep), 73 nucleotides. It matches the Rfam family "tRNA". From Rfam's summary of the family: Transfer RNA (tRNA) molecules are approximately 80 nucleotides in length. The record is from Rfam. NCBI's taxonomy places the organism in Eukaryota, Metazoa, Chordata, Mammalia, Artiodactyla, Bovidae.